This 1260-nucleotide ribosomal RNA is filed under the name uncultured eukaryote. RNAcentral's name for it is "SSU rRNA". It matches the Rfam family "Eukaryotic small subunit ribosomal RNA", at positions 556 to 1819 of the family's 1831-position model. The record is from RNAcentral.
GCAGUCUGGUGCCAGCAGCCGCGGUAAUUCCAGCUCCAAUAGCGUAUAUUAAAGUUGUUGCCGUUAAAAAGCUCGUAGUUGAACCUUGGCCCUGGCUGAUCUGUCCUCCUAAUCGAGCGCACGGAUUCGGUCGGGGCUUUCCUUCUGGGGAGCCCCAUGCCCUUCACUGGGUGUGGCGGGGAACCAGGACUUUUACCUUGAAAAAAUUAGAGUGUUCAAAGCAGGCCUUUGCUCGAAUACAUUAGCAUGGAAUAAUAGAAUAGGACAUCGGUUCUAUUUUGUUGGUUUCUAGGACCGCUGCUAAUGAUUAAUAGGCUGACAGUCGGGGAGCAAGUCAGGUAUUCAUAUUGUCAGAGGUGAAAAUUGGGCGUAAUGGAUUUAUUGGAAUUUGACUUAACUACUGUCGAAAGCAUUCGCCAAGGAUGUUUUCAUUAAUCAGUGAACGAAAGUUAGGGGAUCGAAGACGAUCAGAUACCGUCGUAGUCUUAACCAUAAACUAUGCCGACUAGGGAUCGGACGGUGGUUUUUUUAUGCCCCGUUCGGCACCUUACGAGAAAUCAAAGUUUUUGGGCUCGGGGGGGAGUAUGGUCGCAAGGCUGAAACUUAAAGAAAUUGACGGAAGGGCACCACCAGGCGUGGAGCCUGCGGCUUAAUUUUGACUCAACACGGGGGAAACUCACCAGGUCCAGACAUGCUUAGGAUUGACAGAUGGAUAGCUCUUUCUUGAUUGUAUGGGGGGUGGUGCAUGGCCGUUCUUAGUGGGUGGAGUGAUUUGUCUGCUUAAUUGCGAUAACGAACGAGACCUUGACCUGCUAAAUAGCCAGGUUCACUUUUGUGGGCCGCCGGCUUCUUAGAGGGACUUUUGGCUCAAGCCAAUGGAAGUACGAGGCAAUAACAGGUCUGUGAUGCCCUUAGAUGUUGCUGGGCCGCACGCGCGCUACACUGACAGAGCCAGCGAGUACAUCACCUUGGCCGAAAGGUCUGGGUAAUCUUGUUAAACUCUGUCGUGCUGGGGAUAGAGCAUUGCAAUUAUUGCUCUUCAACGAGGAAUGCCUAGUAAGCGCAAGUCAUCAGCUUGCGUUGAUUACGUCCCUGCCCCUUGUACACACCGCCCGUCGCUACUACCGAUUGAACGGCUCAGUGAGGCCUUGGGGCUGGCUCAGAGAGGUCGGCAACGACCACUCAGAGCCGGAAACUUGGUCAAACUUGGUCAUUUAGAGGAAGUAAAAGUCGUAACAAGGUUUCCGUAGGUAACCUGCG